Molecule: ribosomal RNA, 497 nt
Filed under: uncultured bacterium
Lineage: Bacteria
Description: partial 16S ribosomal RNA
Rfam family: Bacterial small subunit ribosomal RNA
Source: RNAcentral
GAUGAACGCUGGCGGCGUGCCUAAUACAUGCAAGUCGAGCGAACGGACGAGAAGCUUGCUUCUCUGAUGUUAGCGGCGGACGGGUGAGUAACACGUGGAUAACCUACCUAUAAGACUGGGAUAACUUCGGGAAACCGUAGCUAAUACCGGAUAAUAUUUUGAACCGCAUGGUUCAUAAGUGAAAGACGGUCUUGCUGUCACUUAUAGAUGGAUCCGCGCUGCAUUAGCUAGUUGGUAAGGUAACGGCUUACCAAGGCAACGAUGCAUAGCCGACCUGAGAGGGUGAUCGGCCACACUGGAACUGAGACACGGUCCAGACUCCUACGGGAGGCAGCAGUAGGGAAUCUUCCGCAAUGGGCGAGAGCCUGACGGAGCAACGCCGCGUGAGUGAUGAAGGUCUUCGGAUCGUAAAACUCUGUUAUUAGGGAAGAACAUAUGUGUAAGUAACUGUGCACAUCUUGACGGUACCUAAUCAGAAAGCCACGGCUAACUACGUG